This 5190-nucleotide long non-coding RNA is filed under the name Homo sapiens (human). Its description in RNAcentral is "HSALNT0300815". Lineage: Eukaryota; Metazoa; Chordata; Mammalia; Primates; Hominidae. The record is from RNAcentral.
CCACACUGAGCACACCAAGCUUUGCCCUUCUGAAGGAUAAAUUGGGCUAGUACCAAUUAGCUCACUAAACAAAUAUUUCUCCAUUGAAGCACAUGUUUGCUCUCCCAUUUCACUCUGUAUUUACUUAUUCAUAGCCCAUAAAAAGCAGUUAGCUGGAAACAUUCAUGUUUCCUCAUUACAUUCCCCAAAGUGGGAGGUUGUUUUCCUCUCAUGUAGCAUUUUUCCAGUGUGUGAAAAUCUCUGGCCUCAAAGCACACUUGUGGGAACCCAUAAUUGAGUCUGAGAUCAUCCAACAGCAGCAGAAAGCUCUUACAGCCCCGAGAGCCUCAGGGAGCCAGGAAGCUUACAGAACCUUGCUGAAAAACACGGGAUCUAUAGCUAAAUCCAGAAAGCCCCCGGAGACCAUUUGGACCAACCCCUCCCACAGAAGAUACAGAAUGCCAAAUAUUCCAAUGUAAGGAUGGUCCUGAGAAAAAAGAUCCUUGGAAGUCUUUAGAGUGGUAAUCAUAUGCCAAUGUCCCUGCUGAGAGAUGGUAUAACCUCAUGUUGAACAGCUGCUGUUAGAGUGGUUAAAGCCCUGACCCCUGCCAUUCACUAUGGGAGAAGACAGCAACAGCUUUUCUGCCCCACUGGUGUUCUCUAGGGCUUUCUGACCCAGGUCCUCAUCAGCGCAGUCCCUAGCGUUGAGCCCAGCAACCCUAGGAUCAAGGCCUUGAAAGACAAGGUUUUGGGAUCUCCCAAAGUUUUUCAAAGAAAACCUUUAGAAUCUUUAUCCCAAUGGCAGCCGCGGGUUGUUUGGUUCAGCCACUGCCAUCACACCGGCCACUGCAGGGAGGGCACAUGGAGGAGGCAGAGAGCACCACCCCCAUCCCCUAGCCAGCCACCCAGAGGGCCGCCACAAUGGGACUGGGCUAGGUCACAUACCAGGUAAGGGGGAGCUCCAGGCCACCCCUGAACACCAGGGCCACAGGGGAAGCUCACCGCAACGUCGCCCCUGCCCUGGAUGCAAGGACCUGGAGCCCCAGCCCCAGGCUGUGAGGGGGCGUGGCCGGGUGCUGUGCUCCCUUGAGCCCCCGGGAGCCAGGGACAAGCAGGAGCCCUGCCUUUUCCAAGCUGGCAGGGUGGGAGCUCCCCAGGUGAAACUGCAGCCGCCCAAGCCCCCAAGUCAGUGGCUGCAGACCAGACCCCGGCCUCUUGCUACACGGAGCAGGCAGGAGCCCCGCCCACACCCCUGGCAGAUGAAGUCGCCCAAACUGGAACUGCAGACCCAGGCAGUCCCGCACUCUUGGGGGACCUGGGAAGGCGCCCCUGCCCUUGCAGGCUCAGAGGUGCCUGCUCCCACUGCCUGGCCUCUCCCAACUCCUGGCACUCACUCCAAUUUCGGAGUGCAGUUCCGGCCAACCCCAGGUGAUAUGACAGUUUGGCUGGGUGGGGACACACUUGGGGCAGUGCUGACAUGCCGGCCCCUUGCCGCCUCAGCCCCCUCCAAACUUUGGGCACCAACGAGCACUGGAGGGGAAGCUGAUGGGGGGGGCUGAGGGUAGCUGAGUGCUGGCCUGAAGUUGUCCCUUGGUGCCAGCAGCCUGAAUGCCAUGGAUGACUGCAGGAGGCAAACAGGCUCCUGGGCAAAAGGGGGUGGGUCCCCAGCGAAGCCCCACCUUCAGGCCCCUGGAGCAGGUGACCAAUGAACCAAUCAGCAGGUCCGGGGCAGCUGCCCAUGGACCAAUCAGCAUGCACUUCUACCCCACCUCCGUGGUCCAUAAAAGCCCUGGGCUCAGCGGGAGCAGGGUGGAGGAGGGCUGGAGAGACAUCGGGAGGACCAGUUGCAGAGAGGAGCUAUCCUCUCAAGGGCCUCCUUUCUGCUGAGAGCCCAACACUGGAUGAGAUGACUAGAGAGGAGCUACCCACUGCGUUUCUCCUCUGAGCUGUUGUAACACUCAACAAAGCUUCUCUUCAUCUUGUUCACCUCCCACUUGUCUACAUACCUCAUUCCUGGACACAGGACAAGACCUUGGGCAAAGGUGCCACCAGCCACAGAAGUUUCUGGCCAGAAAAGCAACACCCCAAAGAUCCCAUAACAGUCCCACUUGACUGAAGUUUCCAUUGAAAGCUGUGCUCUUGUCUGCCACUGAUCUGGGUGCAUUGUUUUGGCAUUCAUCAAGUGGAAAGUUUGCUCAACUUUAAUUUUUCAUUCAGAAUUGUAUAAGCUGAAUCAAUUGAGAUGUUAUAAUGCUGACUACUGUUUCUGCUGUUAAUCAUUAGUCCUCCUCAAUUAGGACAUUAAUAAGAUUAAUUCAUCUCAAAUUGAUGUGGAUAGUGUACAUCUUCAACAUCAUCUCAUCCCUUCUGAAAAUGAGUUAUCCAUUUGGAAACUGCUGAUUUUGGUGGGGGGAAGGGAUGGUUCCCUUUAACUUUUUGUAAAGCAUCAGUAAUUUCACCAUUCUUCCAGCCCUCUUCACCAUAAAUCUGAUGUUUGUUCUUGCUUCAAUUUUAGCAGAAAUCAUUUUGCUCUAAUAGGGACUCUUUUCAAACUGAUACUUUAACCUUCUUAGUGCCUUAAACUAGAUCCUAUUUAGACAUAACAUGUUAGUAUAAUUUAUUGCAGUCCAAAAAAUGUUGACAUCCAUGCAGUUUUUUUUAUAUAUAACAUGCAUUUUCCAUGAACUCUUUGAAGACGCCUCGUGUGUGUGUGUGUGUGUGUGUGUGUGUGUGUGUGUGUGUGUAUCUAAUUGGUUCUAUUUUUUUAAUGGGGAAAAUAACCCUAAGACAAUACUCAAACACAACUGAUAUGACAUGUUUCUCAAUUGCCCUAUAAUAAUUAUUUCAGAGCCUACUGAUACAACUUUCAAGAUUUUCAUUCCUCUCUUGCCUCAAAUAAGGUAGUGCAUAUGUAAGAAGGCACACCAUAGUACACCAGGAUCAGCAACAUCAGCCUUUGAGACACCUCAGGGUCAGCAUGCCCACAAGGGGACAAUAUGAAAAAGUCACACAGCAGAUCAUCUCAGUGGAAUGAUGGCACUGUAGAAACCUACCAAGGUGCAAGUAAAUUUGUCAUACUUUGAAAUUAAAAAGAUUACUGUUAGUAUCCAAGCAGGCAAAAAAGAAAUUCAAUAAUUAUUUAAUUACUUUAUACCCUGAGAGCAUUUAACAGCUUUGAAAACAAAGUUUAAAAUAUUCACACAAAUGUGAAGUAUUCCAAGGGUAAUAAUUAGAAUUUUUCAUGUCUUUUAUGAAUACUUUUCCAGAAGAAAAGUGUAACUUCUGACAUUCUUAAGAAAUGAAGUGGUGAGCUAGGAGCUAAAAGGAGGCAUUUGAACCUAAAGGUUGCAUAAAGUAGUAAUUUAGUACACUAGAGGAAAAAAUAAGGGAACUCAGGAUUCAAUCUUAACUCUUCCUCUAAAUCACUGUGAAACACUGGUCAAGUCACUCAAUCUCUCCAGACCAUGAAGAAAAGUAGCAAUAAGGGCAUUCUGAAAAUCGAUGGAUGGAAGUGCCUUUUGAUACAUCAGGAGAAAAUGCCUACCAGAGCAUUUAUAUUUUUAUAGCAAAAUCAAAAGAAAUAUAGGCAUUUUUUUUCUCCACAGAUCUCUCAGAGCCAAAAAAUAUCCCUAACUGACGAUGGCAAGGCAGGUUGUAAUGUGCAGUAAUAGAUAUCCAGAUGGACACUUUGGCAGUGAGCUGAGAAAUGGCCCAGAAAUGGAGCCCCCAGACGUUCCCCACAGGAGGACUCCAGCCACUGUGAGUGUCACAGGAGGUGCAUUUCCAGAAGGUUGUAUUGUCUGAGAAGACAAAAAGUGGUUCUCACAAUCAAAAAUGAGUUAAUGUGACAAUAUUUAAAUACAGAGAUUAUUUACUGCUUUCUCCUUUAGACUUAACUAACAUUGAGUUUCCUCUCUAUGAGACUGUCGACAGCUUUCUGAAUACUAAUGGGAAGACUGGUGUCUAAAAUCAGAAUUAAAAAGCUUGAGUAUCGCUUUUUGACUACUCAUUUUUUUACAUUCCACAGUUAGAUCAGUUAUAUCAUGUUCAGAAGUGGAAAAUAAAAGAAAAGGCUAAUGAUUUCAUCAAGGCUGAAUUCUCUUAUUUAUUUAUUUAUUUAUUUAUUUUUAUUGAGGUGGGGGUCUCACUAUGUUGCCCAGCCUGGUCUCAAACUCCUGAGUUCAAGGGAUCUGCCUGCCUUGGCCUGCCAAUGUGUUAGGAUUUUAUGCGUGAACCUCCUUGCCCGGCCAAGGCUGAAUUCUCUAUGAUCUGUCAGUGACAAAUUUUAUCUUUCAUGCUUCUCUUCAUCAAAUAAUUUUCCUUCCUUCUUAAGAAAUCAGAGAUAUUUAUUUUGGUACUGACCAAAUAUUUAAAAGCAAAAAUUAAUCACUUGGUAACUUACACCAUUUUUUAGAGGCCAUUUUUGGACUUCAGCGUUUUGAUUAAGUCUAGGUCCUAAGAUUUGGUCAAAGUCACUUAAUCUCUCAAGACAAUGUUCAGCACAGUCACGAAAAGGUGAUUCUGGUUGCACCACUACUAUCCACAGACUGAGUAACCCGGACUAAUCCCUUAGCUUCUUAGUGUAACACAUGCUAUAGUUUUUGGUUACAUAUGAGCUGUUGGAGAAGUCGAGAGUCACAGGUUAAACUGAAACAUGAGAAAUAAAAACAAUCCCAGCAAUGAAGUUUCCUCAAUGCCUUGUUGAUGUGGGAUGACUCAGUCUUUACUAGGUAUGCCAGCUUGUCCUGGACCUUAGGGACUAAGGUCACUAAUAAAAAACACAACUGUUUGUCUAUAGGAAUUUCUGAUUGUGGAGCAGGAUGAAGAGGAUGAACAUUACUGAGCAACAUGUUUAGAAAUUAGCUAUUAUCCCCCAUUUUACAGAUAAGAAAAAUUGUGCUGAAAGAAUUUAAAUAACUUUUUCAAGACUACUCUGCUGGCAAGUGGCAGACGAAGAGUAAAUUACAAACUACAGUGACAACAUUAUUUUCUGAGUAUCAUACUGCCUCUUUCCGCUAAGGCCCAAUCAGUACCACAAAAAUCACUCACCAUCCUUGGGAAAAAAUUAAUUCACCUUCUGGCCAAAGGAAUACAGAGUUAAAUAAAUGUAGUAAGAAAAUUGCACUUGUAAAGUAAGGGAACUAAUCAUUGAAUUAGUAAUUAUAACAACAAUUUUCAUUAUUAUUAUUUUUUAGGCAGAGUCUUGCUCUA